CGACGGGUGAGUACACGUGGGCAAUCUGCCCUUCACUCUGGGACAAGCCCUGGAAACGGGGUCUAAUACCGGAUAACACUCUGUCCCGCAUGGGACGGGGUUAAAAGCUCCGGCGGUGAAGGAUGAGCCCGCGGCCUAUCAGCUUGUUGGUGGGGUAAUGGCCUACCAAGGCGACGACGGGUAGCCGGCCUGAGAGGGCGACCGGCCACACUGGGACUGAGACACGGCCCAAACUCCUACGGGAGGCAGCAGUGGGGAAUAUUGCACAAUGGGCGAAAGCCUGAUGCAGCGACGCCGCGUGAGGGAUGACGGCCUUCGGGUUGUAAACCUCUUUCAGCAGGGAAGAAGCGAAAGUGACGGUACCUGCAGAAGAAGCGCCGGCUAACUACGUGCCACAGCGGG
Molecule: ribosomal RNA, 402 nt
Filed under: Streptomyces sp. MBT3
Lineage: Bacteria; Bacillati; Actinomycetota; Actinomycetes; Kitasatosporales; Streptomycetaceae
Description: bacterial SSU rRNA
Rfam family: Bacterial small subunit ribosomal RNA
Source: RNAcentral